UUAAAGCUUUUAUUACUGUUGAUGUUUAUCAAAUAAGGCGGAUGAUGUUGGAUUCAAAUUUUUACGAAGCAGACGACGCACACGCGGUUAUGCCAAAAAAAUAAUUAAUUUACCUUUGUAUUGUUAUUAAAUGAUCAAAUAUUGGUUAUCAACAUUAAUUAUUGUCUUUUUGUUUCAUACUGCGUCGAAAUCGGAAAAUGCAAACCCAGAAUAGGGGAACAACAAUAUGGAAACUCGGUCGGACCUUUUUUGGGGACACAGUGAGGAUGGGCCCCAAUAUAAGUCAAAGAAAAGAAUCGCAAAUAGUCUGUGAACCAGUUGGAAAACCAGACAUUGAAUAUAUGUAUCAUCACAAUCCAAUACAUCAGCAGAAAUCCAAGUUUGAUAUUGUGAUAUUUUUCCAUUUGUUCGACGUAUUCAAUAAACAAUUCAUCAGAGCAAAGAGCUAGAGUUUUACCAGCUAGAUCUUCAUUGGAAAGAUGUCCCUGGAAAACUUCUAGGAGAGAACUAGUUCUAUACCUUUCAAGUACAUAGUAUGUUGUUCUUUUCAUGUACUCACACCUAUCUAUAACUUGCAGCCAUUCAUCCUGAUUUAAUUUAGAUGCUUCAAUAAUUGUAACUUUCAUAUAUUUCAUAAUUCUAUACCAUAGUUUUAUCCAACAAAGUGCAAAUGUAGCAGUCAGUUCUUCAUGUGAGGAGCAUUUUGUUUUAAAUUCUGGCCAAGCGAAACAUGGAACUUCUAAGAUAUAACCCCAGGUGUUCAUGCUCCUGGCAAAAAAUGUCGGCAUUUUUAUGUCAAAGAGUGAAUUAGCUAAGUAGUCUAAAAUAUCAUGUAUACAAGGAGCGUGUAGUUUAGGAUGUAAACAUUUACUAUCCCCAUACACAUGAAAUAAGAAAGCUGAUUUUAGAACGUAGGAAGAGACAUUCAUACACUUUCCUGUUAAAUCGUUUUCUCCUAUUAAAAGGGAUUUUAGAAUUUUAUAAGAUUCCUUAUGAUGCUCAUCCAUAUUCUUCAUCAGUUCAAGUUCCAUUGCCGCAAAUGAUAUAAACAAACAUGGUGGCUCUGGAAAAUGGUCAACAUGACACGAUUUGGUUACAAUAUGACAACCAUGUUGGAGAAGCAAUUCUUUAAAUUCAGAUGGAAAGUC
Long non-coding RNA from Saccostrea echinata, 1148 nucleotides. RefSeq lists it as uncharacterized. The record is from RefSeq and is a predicted model, not a curated record. Lineage: Eukaryota; Metazoa; Mollusca; Bivalvia; Ostreida; Ostreidae. The transcript has 2 exons.